ACGGCUCAGUAACACGUGGACAACCUACCCUCAGAACGGGGAUAAACCCGGGAAACUGGGUAUAAUACCCGAUAGUUCUGGGAUGCUGGAAUGCGCCCAGGACGAAAGCUCCGGCGACUGAGGAUGGGUCUGCGGCCUAUCAGGUAGUAGUGGGUGUAAUGUACCUACUAGCCUACGACGGGUACGGGUUGUGAGAGCAAGAGCCCGGAGAUGGAUUCUGAGACACGAAUCCAGGCCCUACGGGGUGCAGCAGGCGCGAAAACUUUACAAUGCUGGCAACAGCGAUAAGGGGACCUCGAGUGCCAGGAUACAAUCUUGGCUGUCGUGAUGCCUAAAAAGCAUUGCAUAGCAAGGGCCGGGCAAGACCGGUGCCAGCCGCCGCGGUAACACCGGCGGCUCGAGUGGUAACCGCUAUUAUUGGGUCUAAAGGGUCUGUAGCCGGCCGGAUAAGUCUCUUGGGAAAUCCAGCAGCUCAACUGUUGGGCUUUCAGGAGAUACUGUUCGGCUCGAGACCGGGAGAGGUGAGAGGUACUUCAGGGGUAGGGGUGAAAUCUUGUAAUCCUUGAAGGACCACCAGUGGCGAAGGCGUCUCACCAGAACGGAUCUGACGGCAAGGGACGAAAGCUAGGGGCACGAACCGGAUUAGAUACCCGGGUAGUCCUAGCCGUAAACGAUACUCGCUAGGUGUCGGCCACGGUGCGACCGUGGUCGGUGCCGUAGGGAAGCCGUGAAGCGAGCCACCUGGGAAGUACGGCCGCAAGGCUGAAACUUAAAGGAAUUGGCGGGGGAG
Molecule: ribosomal RNA, 790 nt
Filed under: uncultured archaeon
Lineage: Archaea
Description: bacterial SSU rRNA
Rfam family: Archaeal small subunit ribosomal RNA
Source: RNAcentral